RNAcentral lists this ribosomal RNA (253 nucleotides) under uncultured bacterium. RNAcentral describes it as "partial 16S ribosomal RNA". It matches the Rfam family "Bacterial small subunit ribosomal RNA", at positions 524 to 776 of the family's 1533-position model. The record is from RNAcentral.
UACGUAGGUGACAAGCGUUGUCCGGAUUUACUGGGCGUAAAGAGCGCGCAGGCGGUCGUUCAAGUCGAGUGUGAAAGCCCCCGGCUCAACUGGGGAGGGUCAUUCGAUACUGCUCGACUUGAAGGCAGGAGAGGGAAGUGGAAUUCCCGGUGUAGUGGUGAAAUGCGUAGAUAUCGGGAGGAACACCAGUGGCGAAGGCGACUUCCUGGCCUGUUCUUGACGCUGAGGCGCGAAAGCUAGGGUAGCAAACGGG